RNAcentral lists this small RNA (27 nucleotides) under Bombyx mori (domestic silkworm). RNAcentral's name for it is "ovarian small RNA-37027". The record is from RNAcentral. Lineage: Eukaryota; Metazoa; Arthropoda; Insecta; Lepidoptera; Bombycidae.
UUCAGCGGUGUUGAUUGCUGGCCCGGA